CUCAGACACAGAUCGGCUGCCCUGGGGCUCACUGCAUCUGUGCCCACCACUCACCCAAGGGCAGUGCCCUCAUCCUCCAUGGGCUCUUUUUCCUCCUGGACCUGCAUGGAGACAGUCAUCAGGGAGUGUUUCUGGCGAAUUCUGCCUUCAACCUUCACUCUCUUAGACCAUAAAUCACCUUUUAACAGUGUUCCAGGUUCUACUGUCAACCCAGGCUCAGGCUGUCCCACAUCCUCCCACAGAGGUCUUGCUUUGUUUUGAGAAAUGCUCAACAGAAGGAGGAAGUCCAGCAUAUCCACGGUGCAACUGAAAUGCCACCCUAGGAAGACUAAGGCCUCAUGGUGGGUGACAGCUGAGGUGACAGCUGAAGAUGAGGCUGGCUGAGGGAGGACAAUCCCACCAAAGUAUAGCGGACACCAGCAGUCUCUCUAGGCUCCCAACAGUCCUAAGGCUGAAGAGACUGUGAACAGGUCUGCACAAAGCCUACAAGCAAAGAAAGUCAUAAGCCUUAGGUUUCCCUGCAAUGACUUUCUGCAGUAGGUGGAGGAAGGGAAGAAAAAACCUAUCUCCAUGGAAAAACCACCUUAUAAGUCUUUCUAUAAAUUGCAGUAGAACAAAG
This 619-nucleotide long non-coding RNA is filed under the name Homo sapiens (human). Its description in RNAcentral is "HSALNT0110925". Lineage: Eukaryota; Metazoa; Chordata; Mammalia; Primates; Hominidae. The record is from RNAcentral.